CAAUGUAUUUCUGUGCAGUAGCAAAAUUUGUAUACUGUCAGCAACUUCAUGGUCAAAAAGCUCAUAAUUUGUUGGGAGUAUGUAUAUGUGACAUGAUAGUUAUGUUAAUGUGAUAGUAAAAAUAUUGUACUCUUAUGUUCUUUUGACAAUGAUAGAUAGAUAGAUAGAUUAAGAAUUAAUUACUACCUAUGGUCUAUGGUCCAAUUAUAAGAGAAGUAACAUCACAUUUUCUUUUCCAUUUUAGUUAAAUAAAUGUGGUU
This 260-nucleotide long non-coding RNA is filed under the name Trifolium pratense (red clover). RNAcentral's name for it is "long non-coding RNA (TPRA_LNC000062)". Lineage: Eukaryota; Viridiplantae; Streptophyta; Magnoliopsida; Fabales; Fabaceae. The record is from RNAcentral.